Long non-coding RNA from Zingiber officinale, 2147 nucleotides. RefSeq lists it as uncharacterized. The record is from RefSeq and is a predicted model, not a curated record. NCBI's taxonomy places the organism in Eukaryota, Viridiplantae, Streptophyta, Magnoliopsida, Zingiberales, Zingiberaceae. The transcript is spliced from 2 exons.
GGGGUUUUUCUCCCGGCUUCCGCCGCCAACAGGAAUGAGGAGGAGGCUUUUCUUCCUCCUUCCCGCGCUUCUCACCGGCGCUGGCACCGGUCGUCAGCCACCACCUCUUCUCCUCUCCCUCUCCUCAUCGUGCCGCCAUCUUUCCUCUCGACACCAGCCAACCUUUCUCGCGCCUGCUCCCCCGCGUGACGCCGCCGUCGGAGAGACCUGCUACUGCCCUUCUCCUCCUCGGCGGCGCCGAUGCCGACUGCCACCUCUUCUCCUCUCCUGUUUCUCCUCGUGACUCUACCACUGGGCUGAUUCGCCGCUACUGCUCCUCUCCUCCUUUUCCCCGCGGACUCCGCCUCUCGUCCUCCUUGCGAUGCCGCCGCCAACACAACCACUUCGCUGCCUCCCCUCUCACCGGCAACACACGUGCUUGUUCCUCAUGCCGACAACCCUCCGACGCUCCACUCCUCCUUGGCGUUUGGAGAGGCUGCUGCCACCCCUAGCCCUUGCGCAGCCGCCACCUCCAGCGGCAACAAGCGGCGGCUGUCGGCCGAUCGCACAACCUCCCUCUGCAUGCUGAUAGCCCAAAUGCUGCCUCCAUGCUACCUCCCUCUCCCUCGGUCUUCGGUGGCCAAAUGCAGCCUCAAUCCGGAUUCUACGGGUCCCCUAGCACCGAGCUGCCCACCAUUAUCGUUGUCACUGAUUUGAUUGUGGUUCGUUCCCGUUGUGGUCCGGCCUUCGUGUCGUUGCCUUGUUCCAACUUUAUGUGUUGUUGUAUGUCAGCGUGCGACCUACUGUUAUCCCGAGCCUGCGUGCCGAUCUCGUGUCUCGGCUUGCGUGCCGAUCUCGUGUCCCGGCCUACAUGCCGAUCUCGUGUCCCGGCUUGCGUGCCGAUCUCGUGUCCCAACCUGUAUGUCGAUCUCGUGUCCCGACUUGCGUGCUGAUCUCGUGUCCUGGCCUGCGUGCCGAUCUCGCUUCCCAGUCCGCGUAUCGUCUUCCAGAUCCAGGCCGCAUUCGGCUCCGUGCCGCUAGACCCAGCUUCACAUCUGGCUCCGAGUCAUCUGCUCUUCCGAGUCGUGAUAACUCGAGUAGCGUCCCAUCCGAGGACAUCUCCUGGGCCAGGGGACCGGGGGACUCGGUCGCUGGCUACAGAUAACGUUGACUAGAGAACUUUUGAAGACUUGAUCAACACGGAAGUCAUCUCAGCACACCCCCCUCCGGGACACCGCGACUUGAUCAACAUUCUCGCCACCUCACCCAAUGGUCCAUCCGACUCAAAUUCCGGACAAGAUAAUAUAUAUAUAUAUAAUGGUUAAACCAUCGGUUCGAUCGGUUAAAUCUUAAAAAUCUCAAUUCGAUCAUCGUACCGGUUCAAUGACAGAUCCUAUUCUCAAAACAUUGGUGCCAAGGACUCUUUCACCUGCUUCACGAUGUCAGUCAUGCUUGGCCUCUGAUGGGACGACUGCAAGGUGCAUCUCAGUGCGACAUCAGAGCACUUCCAGACCGAGUUUAUGUCACAGUUCCCUCGCAGCCUGGCAUCGACGAAUCUUCGAUGUCUCCUCUGACAAGUUUCUGCCGCACCAUUUGAGCUACAUUUGUAUUCUCAUUCUCUACAGUUCGCAUAAGUGGAGGUUGCCCUGUGACCAGCUCCAAGAGAACUACCCCCGAAGCUGUACACAUCACUUUUUUCGCUGAGUUUGAAGGCAUCAUAAUACCUGCACAAGUUAGUUCACUAAAUGUUCUAUUCAAACAAAACCGAAGAAGUGAGAAGAACAAUAACAUACGUACUCUGGAUCAAGGUAUCUUGGAGUUCCCACCACUGCUGUGAAUAUAUGGCUGUUUGUCUCACUUUGGAAAACUUGACACCCCAAAAUCAGCUAUUUUGGCCUCCAGAUUCUCGCUCAAUAGGAUAUUUGCCGUCUUGACAUCCCUGUGAAUCAGUGGCGGCUUGCAUCCCUUGUCCAAGUACUUCAGCCCUGUAUCUCAAUGAAAUUUGUAAGUUUAGAUGAAUUGGGGGAAAGGAGAAAGAAAAUUUGAGUAUAGCAAACCUUGUGCAGCUUCGCGUACAAUCUGGAGACGCUGCCCCCAACUUAAAGUUCUUGUCCUGGCUGUUCUGCCUGUAUAAUUUUAUAUGAACCUGUCAUCAUCUUUUGAAGGAA